AGUGAACGCUGGCGGUAGGCCUAACACAUGCAAGUCGAACGGCAGCACAGUAAGAGCUUGCUCUUACGGGUGGCGAGUGGCGGACGGGUGAGGAAUACAUCGGAAUCUACUUUUUCGUGGGGGAUAACGUAGGGAAACUUACGCUAAUACCGCAUACGACCUACCGGUGAAAGCAGGGGAUCUUCGGACCUUGCGCGAUUGAAUGAGCCGAUGUCGGAUUAGCUAGUUGGCGGGGUAAAGGCCCACCAAGGCGACGAUCCGUAGCUGGUCUGAGAGGAUGAUCAGCCACGCUGGAACUGAGACACGGUCCAGACUCCUACGGGAGGCAGCAGUGGGGAAUAUUGGACAAUGGGCGCAAGCCUGAUCCAGCCAUACCGCGUGGGUGAAGAAGGCCUUCGGGUUGUAAAGCCCUUUUGUUGGGAAAGAAAAGCAGCAGGUUAAUACCCCGCUGUUCUGACGGUACCCAAAGAAUAAGCACCGGCUAACUUCGUG
This 492-nucleotide ribosomal RNA is filed under the name uncultured bacterium. RNAcentral's name for it is "partial 16S ribosomal RNA". It matches the Rfam family "Bacterial small subunit ribosomal RNA", at positions 29 to 507 of the family's 1533-position model. The record is from RNAcentral.